This 468-nucleotide ribosomal RNA is filed under the name uncultured bacterium. RNAcentral describes it as "partial 16S ribosomal RNA". It matches the Rfam family "Bacterial small subunit ribosomal RNA", at positions 28 to 507 of the family's 1533-position model. The record is from RNAcentral.
GACGAACGCUGGCGGCGUGCUUAACACAUGCAAGUCGAACGGAAAGGCCCUGCUUUUGUGGUGUUCUCGAGGGGCGAACGGGUGUGUAACACGUGAGUAACGUGCCCUUCUUUUUGGUAUAACUUCAGGAAAGUGGGGCUAAUACCGUAUAGGAGCUCCUGCUGCGUGGUGGGGGUUGGAAAUUUUCGGCGGGUGGGGAUGGACUCGCGGCUUAUCAGCUUGUUGGUGGGGUAGUGGAUUACCAAGUCUUUGACGGGUAGCCGGCCUGAGAGGGUGAACGGCGACAUUGGGACUGAGAGAGGGCGCAGACUGGUACGGGAGGCAGUAGUGGGGACUCUUGCACAGUGAGCCGGAGCCUGAUGCAGCAACGCCGCGUGCGGGAUGACGGCCUUCGGGUUGUAAACCGCUUUCGGCUGUGACGAAGCGGGAGUGACGGUAAUGGGUGAAGAAGCACCGGCUAACUACGUG